This 753-nucleotide long non-coding RNA is filed under the name Elaeis guineensis (African oil palm). Its description in RNAcentral is "long non-coding RNA (EGUI_LNC031921)". Lineage: Eukaryota; Viridiplantae; Streptophyta; Magnoliopsida; Arecales; Arecaceae. The record is from RNAcentral.
AUUGAGUUAAUUAGAAGCGUUUUUACCGAAUACAAACAUUGUAAGGGACUUAAAUGCAAAAUCCCCUUAAAACGUCUGGUUCAGUCAAUUAAGAGGGCCUUUUACUGAAUAUAUGCUUUUUCAGGGGCUUAAGUGCAGAAUCCCCCUGUUUCAGUAAAUGGGUAAUCGGUUUCGGAUUUCGGGUUGGGACCCAAAAUCCGAACCCGUUAGGGACAUCUUCCUCCUCCCUUCCAUUUUUCCCAAUUAAAACCCUAAAGUCGCCGGCGGUGGAAAAAUCCCUAAACACCGCCGGUGAGACAUCGGCUUUCCUCUACCACCGGCAGUCGGCCUGAGACCGCCGUCCCGACCAUCGGUGAGCCGGCGCUAGGCCGAUCUAGAUGGGAGAACGGUGGGAAAGCCGGCCCUUAAUCUCCACCUAAUGAUGGCAGGCCACCGAAAAAAAAUUCAAAGGACCGACCGUCGACCUCUCCGAGGACCGAUCAAUCCUUUUUCGCCGGCGAUAGGGAGGGGCAACCGCCGGUUUACCGAGAUCCGACAGUUCCUUUUUCAUGCCUUCCAUCCUCAAAAGAAAACCCAGUCGGCGGCUGUCGGAAAAGCCCAGAUCGGCCGAGCGCCGCAGUCUGAACAGGUGGUUGCCGGAGGGGAAGGGUACUCGGAAGGACGGCCUGGCUAGGGACGCCGACAGCCGCUGGACACGGACCACAGGUCCGACCACCGUUAUAAGAAAAGGAUGAUGGAACACCGACUGCCCUU